Long non-coding RNA from Cyprinus carpio (common carp), 1249 nucleotides. The record is from Ensembl. NCBI's taxonomy places the organism in Eukaryota, Metazoa, Chordata, Actinopteri, Cypriniformes, Cyprinidae.
AAAAAGAAAAAUCACAAUGUGUGCCUGCUUUUUUAUAUCAUCAUACCCUGAAAGACUUGUUUCAAAUGAUUUUUAUAAUCAUAGCGAUGAAUAUUGCAGAAUUAAAUUUGCUCUCUGCUUCACAGCUCCAAAAGCAAAGGCAGCGGCUGUCAACAUACCCAAAACGAGAAGAUCUCGAGCCUCAGAGGACAUGGAAGUGUCAGCUGCUCCAGCUCCGAUACAGGAUCUUCCUAUGUGCCGACCAACACCUGUGUACUGCCCAGCGCCACCUGGCUGGUAUGUGCAUCAUAUAGUAACAAGUAGCCCAUUACCACCAUCGGCUAUUCCAGAAUCAGAAGUUCCGAUUUUAACAACUCAUCAAGCUCCUACUUUACUGAAAGAACCAGAAGCUGUUAAGGCAAAGCCAAAACAAGCCACUAAAAAGAAAGAACCAGCUGCGGCAAAAGAAAAAGCCAAAGCAGGUCCUGCGAAGAAGGAGCCCACAGUUACUAAAGCCAAAGUAAAACCUGCAGUGGCAAAGAAAGGGCCAAUCGCUGUGAAAGAGAGGUCUAAAAGGACAGAGCGAGUGAUCACUAAAGAAAAGGCAAAACCUACCUCUACUAAGAAAGAUCCAGCAGUAACAAAGGCGGCAAGAGUAACAACAACCUCACAUAAAGAAGAGAAAGCUAUAAAGGAAGUGAAGCCCAAAGCAGAGGGAAAACCUGUUCCAGAUGAGAAGAAAACGGCAGAAGAAACAAAAGAGAAAGCAGCCGAGGCACCAGCACCAGCAAAAGAUCUGAAACCAGAGGAAAAUGUCACAGAAGGCAAAAAGCCAGGCAAGAUACCGUACUUCCAGUGUGUUUUAAUGAGUUCAAAAUCCAGCCAGUAUCCACUCCGGCCCAUGUCCCCUGCUAUGAGUCCAGCUAUUAACCCAACCAUGAUGAGAGCCAUGAUGGAGCAGAGGGCCGCAUUACUGCAGCAGAAAGCCCGUGCAGCUGGACAGUAAGUGGACGACAGACCCCGUCCGGCCCUGGCAGGUGCAAACUGCUUAUGAACUGCUAUAAAAACAUAGUGCUGCUGGGCUCUCAAGAGCCAUCUUCCUAAACCAUCAGAAACUUUAACAAAUAAUGAGCGGAGGUCCCUGAUUUCUCAGUGGAUGCUCUCCAUUCUUUCAUAAGUGAUUUUUGAAUCCAACCACUUUCUCAAUUUUGACAAAAAAAAAAAAAGAGAUAUAAAUAAAUUAUAAUAUACAUUCUGAAAUAAAUUUAAU